RNAcentral lists this ribosomal RNA (440 nucleotides) under uncultured bacterium. RNAcentral's name for it is "partial 16S ribosomal RNA". It matches the Rfam family "Bacterial small subunit ribosomal RNA", at positions 339 to 795 of the family's 1533-position model. The record is from RNAcentral.
CUACGGGUGGCUCCAGCAAGGAAUUUUGUGCAAUGGGCGAAAGCCUGACACAGCGACGCCGCGUGGGGGAUGAAGGCCUUCGGGUUGUAAACCCCUUUUCUCAGGGAGGAAUAAUGACAGUACCUGAGGAAUAAGUCAUGGCUAACUACGUGCCAGCAGCCGCGGUAAUACGUAGAUGGCGAGCGUUAUCCGGAUUUAUUGGGCGUAAAGAGGGCGCAGGUGGCUUUUCAAGUCGGAUGUAAAAUCUCCCAGCUUAACUGGGAGGGACCACUCGAUACUGUUAAGCUAGAGGGCAACAGGGGGAGGUAGAAUUCCCGGUGUAGUGGUGAAAUGCGUAGAUAUCGGGAGGAAUACCAGUGGCGAAGGCGGCCUCCUAGGUUGUUACUGACGCUUAUGCCCGAAGGCGUGGGGAGCAAACAGGAUUAGAUACCCGGGUAGUC